ACCGGGCACGGUGGCAUGUGCCUGUAGUCCCAGCUACUCGGGAGGCUGAGGUGGGAGGAUCGCUUGAGCCCAGGAGUUCUGGGCUGUAGUGCGCUAUGCCGAUUGGGUGUCCGCACUAAGUUCGGCAUCGAUGUGGUGACCUCCCAGGAGCAGGGGACCACCAGGUUGCCUAAGGAGGGGUGAACCGGCCCAGGUUGGAAACGGAGCAGGUCAAAACUCCCGUGCUGAUCAGUAGUGGGAUUGCGCCUGUGAAUAGCCACUGCACUUCAGCCUGGGCAACAUGGCGAGACACCGUCUCU
This 299-nucleotide signal recognition particle RNA is filed under the name Cebus imitator (Panamanian white-faced capuchin). RNAcentral's name for it is "Metazoan signal recognition particle RNA (ENSCCAG00000013332.1)". It matches the Rfam family "Metazoan signal recognition particle RNA". Rfam says of the family: The signal recognition particle (SRP) is a universally conserved ribonucleoprotein. It is involved in the co-translational targeting of proteins to membranes. The record is from RNAcentral. Lineage: Eukaryota; Metazoa; Chordata; Mammalia; Primates; Cebidae.